Molecule: ribosomal RNA, 253 nt
Filed under: uncultured bacterium
Lineage: Bacteria
Description: partial 16S ribosomal RNA
Rfam family: Bacterial small subunit ribosomal RNA
Source: RNAcentral
UACAUGUGGGGCAAGCGUUGUUCGGAAUUACUGGGCAUAAAGGGUGCGUAGGCGGCUUGUUAAGUCACUGGUGAAAGUUUUCGGCCCAACCGGAAAAUUGCCUGUGAUACUGGCGAGCUUGAGUGCGUGAGGGAUGGGGGGAACGGUCAGUGUAGCGGUAAAAUGUGUUGAUAUUGGAAGGAACACCGGAGGCGAAAGCGGUGCACUGGGGUUGGUCUGACGCUGAGGCACGAAAGCCAGGGGAGCGAACGGG